UACGUAGGUGGCAAGCGUUGUCCGGAAUUACUGGGUGUAAAGGGUGCGUAGGCGGGUAAGCAAGUCAGAUGUGAAAGCCCCUGGCUCAACUGGGGGAUUGCAUCUGAAACUGUUUAUCUUGAGUGCUGGAGAGGAAAGCGGAAUUCCUAGUGUAGCGGUGAAAUGCGUAGAUAUUAGGAGGAACACCAGUGGCGAAGGCGGCUUUCUGGACAGUAACUGACGCUGGGGCACGAAAGCGUGGGGAGCGAACAGGAUUAGAUACCCUGGUAGUCCACGCUGUAAACGAUGAAUACUAGGUGUAGGUGGUAUCGACCCCAUCUGUGCCGGAGUAAACACAAUAAGUAUUCCACCUGGGGAGUACGACCGCAAGGUUGAA
Molecule: ribosomal RNA, 376 nt
Filed under: uncultured bacterium
Lineage: Bacteria
Description: bacterial SSU rRNA
Rfam family: Bacterial small subunit ribosomal RNA
Source: RNAcentral